AUGAAGACCGACAUGAAGACCGACAUGAAGACCGCCGCGGUCCUGCUGCUGCUGGCGUCCGUCCACGUCUUCUCAGUUUCCUCAGACCAAACGCAAACAGAGACACCAAAAUCCCAAAUACUUCCACAAGCAUCAGAACCACUAAAAUCCACUUCAGCCACGGUUCAGCCCAGCAGCACCAGAGGCGCUGGGUCCGCUGCAUCGGGUUCCACUUUAAGCCCAGGCCACCAUGGACCAACCGACGCGCCCAGCAGCGCCACAACAGAGACCAAACCAGAAUCCAACCUUCCCGUAGGAACCCCUGUAACCAGUGCUCCCAGCAACAAUAACUCAGCUGAUACUGAUGGCAAUGUGACACUGAACAGUACGAACCUGCCAAAGCCAGUAGGCACCUCAGAGACCCCACGGCCUCCAGGACCAGCAGGCACACCAGCAAAACCAGCAGCACCAGCAGCACCAGCAGCACCAGCAAAACCAGCAGCACCAGCAGCACCAGCAGCACCAGCCACACCAGCAAAACCAGCAGCAUCAGCAGCACCAGCCACACCAGCAAAACCAGCAAAACCAGUAGGCACAACUGCAGCACCAGCAGCCAAACCAGCAGCACCAGCAGCCAAACCAGCAGCACCAGCAGCCAAACCAGCAGCACCAGCAGCCAAACCAGCAGGUGAGAAGUCCUCUGUUUAAGCAGCGUGUCGUCAGCAUAACAGAGCAUCGCUCCUGCUCGUUCUAACACCAACGUGUGUUUAUCGUCUGCAGACACAUCUUCGGUCGCUACAGGUACAGAACCUUCAGUGUUCAUCAUCAAAGGCCGAGUCGUUAAAGUGUGAGUACUGAUCUGUUUGUCGUUUCUUUCAAUGUCAUCAAUGGAUUAACUGGAAUGAUGGCACUGCCAGACGUUGGCCAAGAAAGUGUUGAAGGGACAAAGUCUG
RNAcentral lists this long non-coding RNA (932 nucleotides) under Betta splendens (Siamese fighting fish). Its description in RNAcentral is "lncRNA (ENSBSLG00000000400.1)". Lineage: Eukaryota; Metazoa; Chordata; Actinopteri; Anabantiformes; Osphronemidae. The record is from RNAcentral.